This is an RNA transcript of Suricata suricatta (meerkat), 1729 nucleotides long. It is a transcript of the gene named histone H4, with no coding region annotated. The transcript has 4 exons. The record is from RefSeq and is a predicted model, not a curated record. NCBI's taxonomy places the organism in Eukaryota, Metazoa, Chordata, Mammalia, Carnivora, Herpestidae.
UUUCUUUUAAUUCGCGACAAUGUCUGGCCGCGGCAAGGGCGGGAAGGGCCUGGGCAAGGGCGGCGCCAAGCGGCACCGCAAGGUGCUGCGCGACAACAUCCAGGGCAUCACCAAGCCCGCCAUCCGGCGGCUGGCCCGGCGCGGCGGCGUCAAGCGCAUCUCCGGCCUCAUCUACGAGGAGACCCGCGGGGUGCUCAAGGUGUUCCUGGAGAACGUGAUCCGGGACGCCGUCACCUACACGGAGCACGCCAAGCGCAAGACGGUCACGGCCAUGGACGUGGUCUACGCGCUCAAGCGCCAGGGCCGCACUCUCUACGGCUUCGGCGGUUGAGAAUUUCACUUUGGUCUGAGCAUUGCGCAUUUCUCUAACGGCCCUUUUCAGGGCCAUCUAUUUCGUCGCAGGAAAGAGUUGCUCACUUUUUGGUUGCAUUAUUGUAAUUUGGCGUUUACUGGUCUUUGGCCUCACGUCCAUCAGUGGAGAGAUUGCCCGCGCCUUUGUUCGCUGUCUUCUCCCAAGAGGUGCUUUUAUCCACCCUUGACUCCAAAAGCAUUUUCUUGGAAGCUGUGUUAAGUGCAGCUAGAAGGAGCUUUGAAGCGACUGAUGGGAAUUCGUGCUCCUCAAAGGUUGACAUCAAGUACAGGAUACGUUAACUCACUGGACACUGCCUGUCCUGGAUGCCACAGCAGCUCAGAGAUCCUGGGGAUGGCCGACAUAUAGCUGACCGAAGGUCAUCUUUGUGCUGUGGCUCUCUGGGCUACUGGAAAGAUCACCAGAGACAACUCAACUACAAUGUAAGAAGAUCUGUCCGAUUGCCAGUCCCUGACCUCCUUCUGUCUCAAGAUGGUGUCAACUCUGCCAUGUAGAAGUCUACCCAACUGGUCAUCCCAGAACUGGGACUCAGAAACUGGGUUUACAUUUGAUCCACUCAUCAACCAUUGUUUUCUUUUUGUUUCCAUAGAAAUGCUUUUUAUUUAACACCUGCAUAUUUGAAACAUAGACCUAACCUGGAGAAUACACCUUGAUCACUACCUUCUGAAAUGAGUUUGACUAUGUUCAAGACUAAGAGACUAGAUCAAGGAGAGGAAAUGACCUAUCAGUUCAACUUUUAAUAUGUGAAACUCCCAAGGAAGUUUCGGAUAGGGAAAAUGAAGGGGUUCAGGAUGCCCACCUCGCACCCCACCCUCCCAGAAUGUGCCAUUUUGACAUGUGGAUUAUUUGGACUUAAAGGCAUUCGAGACCCAGCAGCUCAGGAAAAUUUGGUCUCUUAAUGAAACAGAAGAAUCUAAAUUGGGGGUCUUUCCUAGAAUAAGGGUGAUUAACAAAGAUAGAUUCUAUCCGAGCGACCCAUUUGUCAGGCAGGGCAAACAUGAAAUUACUAAACAUGUGCUUUUCCUAUCCCUCGGUGAAUUCCCUUCUCUCCCCCUAAUGUCCCACAUCCCUACCGCUUUCUCCGUGGUUCAGGAUGUCAUACAUACUUUAUUUUGCCAGGCUUUGAAAUUCCCAUGUCUAUGUGGAUUCCGGGUAUGUACUCUAUUAAAUUUGAUUUUCAACUGUUAAUCUGUCCCAUGUCAAUUUGAUUCGUAGUCCAUCUAGGACCUUGAAGUACAGAGGAAUCCUUCCUCCCUAACAUCAGAGUUCUAGAAUAUGUAUAAUAUUUUAUCCUUUUAUGAUGUUUAUCAUUUUUUUAUAAACCAAAAACCUGUGUGUAAUUAAAAAUGUGCAUUAGAA